Molecule: ribosomal RNA, 862 nt
Filed under: Bacillus velezensis
Lineage: Bacteria; Bacillati; Bacillota; Bacilli; Caryophanales; Bacillaceae
Description: bacterial SSU rRNA
Rfam family: Bacterial small subunit ribosomal RNA
Source: RNAcentral
GCUAAUACCGGAUGGUUGUCUGAACCGCAUGGUUCAGACAUAAAAGGUGGCUUCGGCUACCACUUACAGAUGGACCCGCGGCGCAUUAGCUAGUUGGUGAGGUAACGGCUCACCAAGGCGACGAUGCGUAGCCGACCUGAGAGGGUGAUCGGCCACACUGGGACUGAGACACGGCCCAGACUCCUACGGGAGGCAGCAGUAGGGAAUCUUCCGCAAUGGACGAAAGUCUGACGGAGCAACGCCGCGUGAGUGAUGAAGGUUUUCGGAUCGUAAAGCUCUGUUGUUAGGGAAGAACAAGUGCCGUUCAAAUAGGGCGGCACCUUGACGGUACCUAACCAGAAAGCCACGGCUAACUACGUGCCAGCAGCCGCGGUAAUACGUAGGUGGCAAGCGUUGUCCGGAAUUAUUGGGCGUAAAGGGCUCGCAGGCGGUUUCUUAAGUCUGAUGUGAAAGCCCCCGGCUCAACCGGGGAGGGUCAUUGGAAACUGGGGAACUUGAGUGCAGAAGAGGAGAGUGGAAUUCCACGUGUAGCGGUGAAAUGCGUAGAGAUGUGGAGGAACACCAGUGGCGAAGGCGACUCUCUGGUCUGUAACUGACGCUGAGGAGCGAAAGCGUGGGGAGCGAACAGGAUUAGAUACCCUGGUAGUCCACGCCGUAAACGAUGAGUGCUAAGUGUUAGGGGGUUUCCGCCCCUUAGUGCUGCAGCUAACGCAUUAAGCACUCCGCCUGGGGAGUACGGUCGCAAGACUGAAACUCAAAGGAAUUGACGGGGGGCCCGCACAAGCGGUGGGAGCAUGUGGUUUUAAUUCGAAGCAACGCGAAGAACCCUUACCAGGGUCUUUGACAUCCCUCUGGACAAUCC